GUGUUUGCUUUGGCAGCACAUAUACUAAAAAAUUGGAAUGAUACAAAGAAGAUUAGCAUGGCCCCUGAACAAGGAUGACAUACAAAUUCAUGAAGCAUUACAUAUUUUU
RNAcentral lists this small nuclear RNA (109 nucleotides) under Moschus moschiferus (Siberian musk deer). Lineage: Eukaryota; Metazoa; Chordata; Mammalia; Artiodactyla; Moschidae. The record is from RNAcentral.